GGCUUGGGUGGUGGCACAAAUAAAACUAGUUGUGUGAUUGAAAAAGCUUUUGAAGAUGCACUGAAGGGAGUCAUCCAGGCAGAUGAUGGUUUGCGUACAAGGAGUUUCAUAGAGCUUGUGGCUGAGACAGUCUAUAGUUCUCGAGUACUGGAUCGGCUUCUUGAAGUCCAAAAGCUUGAUAAUUUUGACAUUGAAGGGGCAAUUCAUGCUUAUUAUAACAUUAUUUCUCAGCCUUGCAUGGUAUGUAGUGAAUUGGAUGAAGCAAGACUUCAGCCUAGGUAUGCCUCCUUGCAUUCCAUUCCUUUGGAUGAGAGCUUGAAGAUGGUAAAGGAUUAUUUAAUAGCUGCAACUGCAAAGGACUGUAGUUUGAUGAUCAGUUUUAAACCAAGGGAAGAUACGGAUUUUGGGUCUCCAUAUAGCAGUAUAUAUCUGAAAUCAACCAACCAAAACUUUGAUUACAAGGUGAAUUUCAUC
Molecule: unclassified non-coding RNA, 474 nt
Filed under: Hevea brasiliensis (rubber tree)
Lineage: Eukaryota; Viridiplantae; Streptophyta; Magnoliopsida; Malpighiales; Euphorbiaceae
Source: RNAcentral